RNAcentral lists this long non-coding RNA (264 nucleotides) under Mytilus galloprovincialis (Mediterranean mussel). Lineage: Eukaryota; Metazoa; Mollusca; Bivalvia; Mytilida; Mytilidae. The record is from RNAcentral.
GCGCUUAUCUGUAUAUUAUGAACAUUCAUUACUAUAUAAAUAUAGUGUAUUUACUUUCAAUUCUAAGUUUACUAAUCGAUCCAUAGUGGUCAUUGAUAUAGUAUACAGACCCUCUCUAUUUAAUAAACUCUGUGACUGCCGUGGAUAGUAAACUUGAAAAUGAUAGCAGAUAGAAUUCUGAAAAUACACUUUAUUCUUUGUAUAUGUAUGUUCAAAGUAUACAGAAAAACGCAAACCGGAAGUCUAAUCAGACUUAAAAUUUCG